This is a non-coding RNA of Odocoileus virginianus texanus, 301 nucleotides long. The record is from RefSeq and is a predicted model, not a curated record. Lineage: Eukaryota; Metazoa; Chordata; Mammalia; Artiodactyla; Cervidae.
UUUCUUUCUUUUUUUUUAAGUAGAGAUACUGCUGUACCACUUAGUCCGUGGUUGGUUGAAUCCAUGGAUUGGAACUCCAGAGACACAGGAACCCAUGAUGUACUUUGGAUGGUUGACUCCAAAUUGUAUGCAGAUUUUCAACUGCAUGGGAGGUGUGUUGAACUCCUUGGAACUGCGAAUAGAUGUCCAUCAGUUUAAAACAGUCUCUGUCAUUAUUUCCUCAAGUAUUUCUUCUGCCCCAUUUAACUAUCCUUCUUGAAAACAGCGCUAAGCACAGAGUUCAGAGUCCACUGGAGAGGCG